AAGGCCUUAGCUUAAUUAAAGCAUUUGAUUUGCAUUCAGGUUAUGUGGGAUAAAGUCCUGCAGGUCUUA
Molecule: transfer RNA, 69 nt
Filed under: Pythonichthys microphthalmus
Lineage: Eukaryota; Metazoa; Chordata; Actinopteri; Anguilliformes; Heterenchelyidae
Description: tRNA-Ala
Rfam family: tRNA
About the family: Transfer RNA (tRNA) molecules are approximately 80 nucleotides in length. Their secondary structure includes four short double-helical elements and three loops (D, anti-codon, and T loops).
Source: RNAcentral